This 200-nucleotide ribosomal RNA is filed under the name uncultured eukaryote. RNAcentral's name for it is "partial 18S ribosomal RNA". It matches the Rfam family "Eukaryotic small subunit ribosomal RNA", at positions 588 to 797 of the family's 1831-position model. The record is from RNAcentral.
GCUCCAAUAGCGUAUAUUAAAGUUGUUGCAGUUAAAAAGCUCGUAGUUGGAUUUCUGAAGGCGCGACAAUGUCCGCUGAUUGCGUGUGCAGCGUUGCUCUUUCAUCCUUCUGUUAACGUUUCUUGGUAUUCAUUUACUGGUUUCGGGCUCAGAUAUUUUACCUUGAGAAAAUUAGAGUGUUUCAGGCAGGCUUGUGCUGG